RNAcentral lists this ribosomal RNA (433 nucleotides) under uncultured bacterium. Its description in RNAcentral is "partial 16S ribosomal RNA". It matches the Rfam family "Bacterial small subunit ribosomal RNA", at positions 29 to 507 of the family's 1533-position model. The record is from RNAcentral.
AACGAACGCUGGCGGCAGGCCUAACACAUGCAAGUCGAGCGAGAUCUUCGGGUCUAGCGGCGGACGGGUGAGUAACGCGUGGGAAUAUGCCUCUUGGUACGGAAUAGCCUCGGGAAACUGGGAGUAAUACCGUAUGUGCCCUUUGGGGGAAAGAUUUAUCGCCAAGAGAUUAGCCCGCGUUGGAUUAGGUAGUUGGUGGGGUAAUGGCCUACCAAGCCGACGAUCCAUAGCUGGUUUGAGAGGAUGAUCAGCCACACUGGGACUGAGACACGGCCCAGACCCCUGGGGGGGGAGGCAGGGGGGAAUUGAAGAAAGGGGGGGAACCCUGGAUAUGGCCAGGCGGGGGGAGGGAAGAGGCCUUAGGGGUUGAAAACUUUUUCGGGCGGGAAAGAAAAUGAGGGACCCAGAAAAAGAGCCCCGGGCAAACUCGGGG